Molecule: unclassified non-coding RNA, 32 nt
Filed under: synthetic construct
Source: RNAcentral
GGGAUACCAUGUUCAGAAGAACGUGGUAUCUC